UCUACUUUGUACUAAAGUUAGUACAAAACUGAGUCAAUUUGAGUCACUUAUUUUGGGACGGAGGGAGUAGUAAUUAAAUGGCAUAUUUGACUGGAAAGUAAUUUUGGUAGCUAGUUGCCCGUGCACCCCAUGUUCUCUCUACUCCAUUUUUGAUCCUUUGUGGUUUCAAAGAUGGUGAAAUGAUGCAUGGAUGUAGGUCAUGCUAUAUAAUGUGCAUCUACAAAAACUUGUAACAGAUUAUAACAUCUUGUGGCCUGUAUAAAAAAAGACAAAUUUAUAUCUUGUGCAUGCUAUUUAACUGAGUACUAUUCAUUUAAAGCUUUUAUUUUUUGUCUAGCUCCCAAAUGGUUAUAUUAUUGAAUGUUUUUUUUACAAGUGCACAAGGCAUGACAUUAAUAUCAUCUCAUGACUUAUUUCACAGAAAUAAAAUAAAAGAGGAGAGAAUACGGGUCGCUCGGCCAACUAGUUGCACAAAAUACCCUUUCAAGAUUUUCUUUAAAGAAUUAUUGGAUGACUUUCCCUGUAGGAGUCUUUUUUCUAUAAGAAAUUAUCUGCCCAGAAUCCCAUACCAGAAACUGUUUGACAUGCCGUUUUGGGGCAGAUCUUAAAAAUGGAGCAACCAUGUAGGUUUGUUAUGUUGCUAUGUUAGAGGUGGUUAGUAACUAUGGCAUUGGAAAGUAUCUAUGGGCACUUUCAGGUCCCAGAUAUGUAUGAAGAGUGUUUUCUGCCAGAAACAGGAAGCAUCCGUCGUACCAUUGGCGGGCACCUGAAAUGUUCUUGCUAAGAUUGUAUUGUCAGAUCCAUGCAAUACAUCCAAGGGAAGUCGUUAACAUUUGAUAGAAAGUUGAGGUGUCUCAAGAUAUUCUGUAUAACAAUAUAUUUGAGCAUGUCUCAUCCUGAAGCACUGGAUAGGGUUGAUCUCUGUUUUGCCCUCACUUGCCAGCUUUCUUUCUUUGAUGGAUAGAAAAAUGUGGGGGCUGGAGAGAUGUCCUUUUCUGUCUAAUAUACAUUUGUGUCUAGACCAAGAUGACUGCCUCUUUUAUAUUGCAUUUUGACGGCUAUUGCGGCCAGUUGGCGUCCCUGUUUUCAGCUGCUUAUAUUAAUAACAACUAUGAUUGGCUGUAGCAUCCUUCAGCUCAAAUUUAUUAUUAUCUUGGUUUUUUUUGAAUGAAAGGGGUCCCCCCCUGCCCCAUUUUAUUUAAAAUGAAGCAGACCAAGAGUAACAAGGACCUCCACGCGCAAAACAGAAAAGACCAAAGGAUAGAAAGCUAAUCAGGGUCCUGGCUCCAUGCGAUUAUCUCGGUUUGUAUUGUCUCAGGAGUAUGGGUUACUGCAAAUUCACCAUGUUGUUGUAGGUUGUCUUUUUUCUUUUUUUGUGGGUGUUGCUGUAGUUUGUCAUGUCAGAUUCACAAUUGAUUUUGGAAUAUGCGAUUUUGAAACAUGCAGCUAACCCGGAUUGGAAUUCGGGCAUGACGUUA
Long non-coding RNA from Hordeum vulgare subsp. vulgare (domesticated barley), 1478 nucleotides. RefSeq lists it as uncharacterized. The transcript is spliced from 2 exons. NCBI's taxonomy places the organism in Eukaryota, Viridiplantae, Streptophyta, Magnoliopsida, Poales, Poaceae. The record is from RefSeq and is a predicted model, not a curated record.